CUCUUUGCCUGCUUGUCCUCACUCUCACUGGCAAGUUCAUUUCUUCACUGGCACUGCAGCCUGCCUCUUUGGGGUUCCAACAGAUACUGUAAGACCAGCUGAGACAUCCAGCCUCGUGGACUGAAUAACUACUGGACUCUUGGACUUUCUAUCAAGAGAGAAUAGUUGGACUACAGCAUGAUUGAUCAGAAACAUGAUUGAACUGUUAUGGUUAUUAGGAUGAUACUGGAAUUGUGGAGGACAUGAGGAAUGCAGUUUGCUGUGAGUCCAGAGGAUGUCUCUUCAGCAUUCAGACUUGUGAGCUUAGAAAGCUGCCAUUGUGAAGAACCAAGGAGCCUCCCCAGCCACAGCACUGAGAAGGUACCCCAGACUGGAGCACAAGACCCAGUGCACACAGCUACUAGACUUCAGUUUCUGUCUUCCAAAACUACCAGCAGCUUUUUUCUCUGCUUGGAAAGCAUAAUUCUGUCAGAAGCCGGGAGUAAGCACCAUAUUUUCUAACAAGAAUACACCGUAAGGACACAAGGAGCCAAGCUGACAACACUGUCACCAGGGUCCUAGAAAACGCUGACUUUUCCAGAAUAUGAAAACUAGCCUUCAGAGUUAAAAUCUUUGAUCUUUUCCUGGUUUAACAGUUGUUAUUGUUGUUUUUUAAACCUCAUAGAACAAAUUAAUUUGACAUGCAUGUUAGAAAGCAGUAUUCCUACUCCACUACCUUAGUUUUUACUUUGGCACGUGUUCUAGAAUCUUCUCACAAAAAAUUAAAGAACACUGGUUAAUCACAUGAUCUAGUGGCUUCUGCUAAUGUGAACAUGAGGGAUGUCAAACACAAAUGUAAUAGUCCCUGUGUGACUGAGAUGAUUAUUGUCAGAGACAGAUCAAACAGCGAAAGAGCUGGAGGGGAAACAAAAGCCUCUUCUCUGUAAUUAGAGUCACCCAACAGAUGACCACAGGAAUAAAUCUGUGAUUCAAACAGGAAA
Molecule: long non-coding RNA, 980 nt
Filed under: Mus musculus (house mouse)
Lineage: Eukaryota; Metazoa; Chordata; Mammalia; Rodentia; Muridae
Description: RIKEN cDNA C030013G03 gene (C030013G03Rik)
Source: RNAcentral